Long non-coding RNA from Larimichthys crocea (large yellow croaker), 789 nucleotides. RefSeq lists it as uncharacterized. Lineage: Eukaryota; Metazoa; Chordata; Actinopteri; Sciaenidae. The transcript is spliced from 3 exons. The record is from RefSeq and is a predicted model, not a curated record.
UCUGACUCUGGUCAUCAUGAUCUUCAUAUCAUCAGCAGCUGUGCUGAUAUACUGCAGGAAGACGGACUGUAAACCCAAAGGACCUCCUCAGGAAGCAGAGUACGUCAAUGUCACAGAGGCCGACCGAGUGUAUGAGGAGAUCAGAGAGGAGGACAGACAGAGCAGAUCUCCUCCUGUAGAAAUAUCUACAGUUUACGCCCACGCCAAAUACACCAAACCAAAUGCAGCUGAAGGCACAGACUGAAGACGACUCGAGCAGCUGCCCCGCUCAACAGCGCCCCCCGUGGUGAUGCAGAUAACACCGUCUACUCUGUGCUUCAGGCUGCAGCGAGCUCAGACGACCGCCACGCCGAACACGCUUCAGCUCCUCUGUACUCGACUGUUAAUGUUCAUCAGCAGUAGCUUCAAAGCUGCUGACGUGGGCUGAAUGAAGCCUGGCUGCUCAAACAAGACACCUGUGCUGACACCCACCUGUCAAUCAAAGUGUACUCCAUUUUAACUCUGCAUAGCUUUAAGCCUUAAUAUAAUGUGAACAGGUGAGUUGUAUAUAAAUUCACCCUCAGUACAGUUGUCAUGAACGGGGAAAUUAGCUACAGAGAACUGUUCUACAAAAAGUCAAUAUACGGGUUUAAAUGUGUUUUAUUGUUUUUUAAUGCAGAUCUUUUUGGUUCGUCUGACCUCUAUAGAUAAAAAACUUUGUUGUAGUUCACCCUCUUAUCAUGCUUUAUGUUACACAAAUUAUCUGUUUCCGUGAGAACAAAAUAAAACUUUUUGUCCAGAAAUAAAACU